GAUGAACGCUGGCGGCGUGCCUAAUACAUGCCAGUCGAGCGAACGGACGAGAAGCUUGCUUCUCUGAUGUUAGCGGCGGACGGGUGAGUAACACGUGGAUAACCUACCUAUAAGACUGGGAUAACUUCGGGAAACCGGAGCUAAUACCGGAUAAUAUUUUGAACCGCAUGGUUCAAAAGUGAAAGACGGUCUUGCUGUCACUUAUAGAUGGACCCGCGCUGCAUUAGCUAGUUGGUAAGGUAACGGCUUACCAAGGCAACGAUGCAUAGCCGACCUGAGAGGGUGAUCAGCCACACUGGAACUGAGACACGGUCCAGACUCCUACGGGAGGCAGCAGUAGGGAAUCUUCCGCAAUGGGCGAAAGCCUGACGGAGCAACGCCGCGUGAGUGAUGAAGGUCUUCGGAUCGUAAAACUCUGUUAUUAGGGAAGAACAUAUGUGUAAGUAACUGUGCACAUCUUGACGGUACCUAAUCAGAAAGCCACGGCUAACUACGCG
RNAcentral lists this ribosomal RNA (497 nucleotides) under uncultured bacterium. RNAcentral's name for it is "partial 16S ribosomal RNA". It matches the Rfam family "Bacterial small subunit ribosomal RNA", at positions 28 to 507 of the family's 1533-position model. The record is from RNAcentral.